Molecule: unclassified non-coding RNA, 1876 nt
Filed under: Polistes fuscatus (common paper wasp)
Lineage: Eukaryota; Metazoa; Arthropoda; Insecta; Hymenoptera; Vespidae
Description: cysteine protease ATG4D, transcript variant X4
Source: RNAcentral
AUAUUUGAGUGAUCAAAAAGUAUCUGAGAUAAAUAUUAUUGUGAAAUAUCCGAGACCCUUGUUUAUAUUUUGAAUAUGAUGAAGGGACAAAUACAAGCAGCACGAGAAAGGUUAGGAGGUUUCAGCAAUAACAGUUACUAUUCUAGUUCGUCAGACCAUGUAUCUGACAUUCAACGUAUCGUUCCAAUCUCGCAUUACGAAUUGCAAUUGGAUGAUCCUGCGGUUGCAACCGAAGUCGAUAAUAAAGUUAAAACUAAAUUGCUCUCUAUAUGGAAUAAUGUUAAAUAUGGAUGGACUGUAAAAAUAAAAACAAAUUUUUCUAAAGAAUCUCCGGUAUGGUUGCUAGGACAAAGAUAUCCCAAACAAUUGGAAGAUACUUUAGAAAAAGCUUCGGAAGCUCUUUCUGGAUUAGGAACUGGCAGCGAAGUUUCCCUGGCAAUAGAUGCUGCAACUUACGAAGAAGGAAUAGAAGGAUUUAAAAGAGAUUUUGUUUCACGGCUAUGGCUUACUUAUAGAAGAGAAUUUCCUAAUUUAAGAGGUUCCACUUUCACUACCGAUUGUGGCUGGGGUUGUAUGUUACGAAGCGGUCAGAUGAUGAUGGCGCAAGCAUUAGUUUAUCAUUUUCUAGGCCGAGAUUGGAGGUGGAAUCCUGAUGAAACUGUUGAAACGGAUGAAGAGAUGAAACAUCGUAUGAUUGUAAAAUGGUUCGGAGAUCAACCCGGACCUUAUUCUCCUCUUUCUAUUCAUAAACUUGUAUCGCUCGGUGCGCAAUCAGGAAAACAAAUAGGGGAUUGGUACGGGCCUGGAUCAGUCGCGCAUAUUUUAAGCCAAGCAGUAAAAUCUGCCGCUGAGAUACACAGAGAGUUUAACAAUUUGUGUGUUUACGUUGCUCAAGAUUGCGCAGUUUACUUGGACGAUGUGAAAAAGUUAUGCGAAGCAUCAGAUGGAAGCUGGAGAUCUCUCGUAUUACUAGUACCGUUAAGACUUGGUACAGAUAAGUUAAAUCCGAUGUAUAUACCGUAUUUGACUAAGCUGUUGGAAUUAGAGUUUUGCAUUGGUAUCAUUGGUGGACGUCCUAGACAUUCGCUUUACUUCAUUGGUUAUCAGGAAGAUAAGUUGAUACAUUUAGAUCCUCAUUAUUGUCAAGAAAGUGUUGAUAUGUCGAAAGAAAUGUUUUCCUUGUCAACAUUCCAUUGUACCUCGCCUAGAAAAAUGCUACUUUCCAAAAUGGAUCCCAGCUGUUGCAUCGGUUUUUACAUAUACGAUAAAAACUCUUUUGACGAAUUUAUAACAAAGAUCGAAACCAUAUUUAUGUCUCAAAGUCAGAAAGCGGAUUAUCCAAUGUUUUUAUUUUGCGAAGGAAGCGGAGAGGAGUUGCAAGAAAACAUAGAGGUUGGUGAAAAUCCAUUGCCCUCGACAUUGUUUGUACGACCUGGUGCAUUCGAAGAUCAUUAUGAGUUUGAGGAAUUUGAACUCAUAUGUAUAGGAAAUAAAAGCGAAUAGAAAAGGGAUUGCGAUGUACUUAUAAAUACUUGAAAUGUAUUAAUCACACAAAGUAAAGUAAUGCGCGCUAACUAAGAAAAAACAUGGCGAAUAUUUUGAAGAAGAUCUCUAUCUCUCAUGGUAUGUACGUCUUACAAUUGCAGACUGAUGUCAAUGCGUUGACUAAAUUAUAUAUUUAAGUAUGUACAAAAAAUGUGCAGAAAAGAUAGAAGUUUAAACCAAACAUCUAUUUCUGUGACGGUUAUUAAGAUACUAAUGCAAUAUGAUCUUUAAUAAGUAUUCAAAGCGAAGGCACAAUUUUUUUUACAUUUUGUUAUCUGAUCUCGAGAUCGUUGCUAUUUGUUUUUUUUUUGUUCAUAUAUGUACAUAUAUU